CCCGUGUGACUCUGCCCGAGACCCUGGGGCGGCAAGUUUUGCUGCUGCCGCCGAAGCGCUACAGGGAUGCGCAGCUCCCUGUUGAAAAUCUCUGCUCUAAAUCUCAGCCUAGAGCUCGCCUCGCAGUCGUUUUUGGAAGUUUCAGGCUCAAGAGGUCGAGGUGAUGUGGGGGUCUCGGCGAGCGUCUGUGCAGCAGCAGCAGCCUCGGGCUGCGGGAGUGUUUGUGACUGGCACUUGAAUCCAUGCUGGCCCCUUUUCCUCGGGCUGAGCUGCAAGGAGCUCAGCAGCUGCGGCAUUUAGUUCAAUUACUUCAGAUGAUCUGUAAAUUUUCAAUAAUGGCAAUACAUUCAUUCUGCCAUUUGGAGGAGCCUGUGCCACAGAAUAAUGAUCUGAAGAAAGCUCACUCAUUUGCAAGGAAGAGUCUUCAUUUGGGAAUUAGCACUGAUGCAGCUCAGGGGUGCUUUUUCAAGUCCAGACUCUUUCAGCAGAACUGUUAUUUUCCUAACACAACCUCUGGUACAAGGAUAAAAUUGGGUUUUUGUCAAAGAACAGAGUCCUGUAUCUGAAGAUUAAGAAGGUGCUUGACAUUCAGUGGGAUGAGAAUCUCAGAACUGACUACUGGGGACUCCCAGGCUACAGAUCAGAAACCAUUUUGAUAGGUGUGGGUUGCUUGUCAGAAAUUGUUCCGAAGCUUGAGUGCAAAGGAAGCAGGGUACUAAUGAUGAAUAAGAAUGGAUAUCUUGAGGAUAACAAUGGAUAUGGCAUCUUCAAAAGCAGUGGCAUUCUGGUCCUAGUCCUGUAACUGGAUUUGUUCAAGUGGACCUCAAGAGCCUGGGGGCCUGAUGAAGUCCAUGGGACUCUGGUGACUGCAGGUUCUCACUCUGAAGAUCUGAUUGUAGGCCUGAACCUUAAUUUCUAUUUUGUUUUCCUGUCUGUUUGCUUCUUAAAUUAUGCAAAUUAUCCUUUGAAAUGGUGUUGUCUUUGAGUCUUAUGCACAUCCACUUUAGUAGUGUUUGGACACUGUGUGCUUGGGAUGUUGUCAGACAUUGUUAAAAUAUUGCUGUUCUGUUGUGUGCCUAAACCUCCUGAUUGCUCUGAUUAUUGUGUUACAUUUUUCUAUUUAGUGCCUUUCUACCUAAAAUGGAGAAGAUCAUCACCUGUGUUUUCAAUUGUGGUAUUUCUCUUAAUUCAGAUUUUUAAGUCAGAGUAACUGUUGAAACUGUUCAGGUUAUUUUUAAAGAUGCAAGUAGAUUUGUUUCUUUCUUGCUGGACUCAAAGUAUAAUAUUUUAUUUUGCAAACUUGGUAGCCUAGUAUUACUAAAAGCUUACAAUACGAUGAUACUCUGAUGUAAUAAAAUAAGUAGGAAAUGACCCUUUUA
Molecule: long non-coding RNA, 1379 nt
Organism: Agelaius phoeniceus (red-winged blackbird)
Lineage: Eukaryota; Metazoa; Chordata; Aves; Passeriformes; Icteridae
Source: RefSeq, a predicted model, not a curated record